This is a long non-coding RNA of Cynoglossus semilaevis (tongue sole), 1286 nucleotides long. RefSeq lists it as uncharacterized. The record is from RefSeq and is a predicted model, not a curated record. The transcript has 6 exons. NCBI's taxonomy places the organism in Eukaryota, Metazoa, Chordata, Actinopteri, Pleuronectiformes, Cynoglossidae.
AGACCCUGUUCACAAACAAGAACUUCAGCUGUGACAAAUGAACUGGAGAAAAAAAAAAUCACAGAACAGGAGUGAAGUUUGGACGAAGGUUCUUACUCUCAGUCCAGUACGACCCACGAGACCCUUCUCUCCUGGUUUUCCAGGUUCACCCUGUGGAGGAGAAAUCACAUGAUCAUCGGGAAUCCCAUCACUCCUGGCUGACCACGAGCUCCCAGAGGACCGGGGGGGCCGGGGCGACCAUCCUCACCAGAGGCACCCUGUUAGAACAAGCAGUGGACCGGCAGCUCCAGGUUCUCCUCUGGCUCCUCUCUUUCCUUCCUCACCUGCGGGGCCUGGGGGGCCUUGAGGACCAGCAACGCCCUGAAAAAAAUAUAGUUCUCCCUUAGGUCCAGCUUCACCUUUGAAUCCAGGAAGACCAGGGUCUCCCUACACAGGUCAACGAAGAAGAAAAGGUGGACCAGAAGGACCGGGCAGACCAUCAUUUCCACGAGCUCCCUGGAAAAAGAAGAAGAAAAAGAAGAAGAAGAGGAGGAGACGCCUGUCAGGUUCUAUCAUCAUAACAAAGUGACCGCAGUAACACUGCUGAUAAAUGGACACUAGGUGGAGUGACGUAAACACUUACUGCAGCUCCAGAUGCCCCAGGACGUCCUCUCUCACCAGGCAGACCACGUGGGCCCUGUGACAUGAAGAUACAGCUCAUAAGUCCCUCAACGUCUACUACAAAUAAAAAACACCUUCUGCUGCUCUGUGACAUCCAGAAUCAUCUCACCAUUGGUCCAGCAGAUCCGUUCUCACCAGCAUUUCCGGAUUCUCCCUGCACCGGUCUCUCCCUUGGCUCCAUCCAGACCAGGAUGACCCUGCAGAGACAGUCACGUGGUCAGGGGUGAAGAACCGGGACAGCAUCAUCCAGGGAUGCACUUAGAAAAGUCUAACAAGGGCUGGCUGAUGCUUCGGUUUGGUGCCACCUUGUGGUCAUGUGCUGCAUCACUCUUCAUCACCUCUUCUAAACUUUCACUCUCUACUGUCUUGACUUUUUUUCAUUUUUAAAAAACAUGCUCAGAGAUUUUUAAACUGUGGCCACUUCCGCCCUGCAGGGGGCGCCACUGUUUUCAUCAAAGUAGCAGUGAAGCUUCGAUCACUCACUCUGUGUCCUUUGAUUCCAGGAAGUCCAGGAGUUCCAGGGAAUCCACGAGCUCCCUGGGAUUCAAAGAAAAACAAAACAAUUGAUUCAUCUUUGUUGCCUUUGUACGAACCCUGAUGGGCUGCACCAACGUGGGCCCCGUGAU